This 318-nucleotide long non-coding RNA is filed under the name Androctonus crassicauda. Lineage: Eukaryota; Metazoa; Arthropoda; Arachnida; Scorpiones; Buthidae. The record is from RNAcentral.
CAAGGGUGUGUCAGUUAAAAGGAAGUAAAGUUAAAAGGGAAGUAUUAUUGCCCUCAGGUCGGUGAUGUCCAGCAAAGUCAAGUGCAUCCAGAUGGCCAAUAUAGGAGGUCAUAAAGAUGAGUUAAGGAUGCGUCAACAGUUAAGUGCCUUUAGGGCCGGGUGCACCUUGGAGGAGAUCCUGUCCUGGCAUCAUUGCAUGCAGUCAUCUUCACGCUCUCUCGUCUUGUCUUCUGUCGGAGUCGGAGCUUUUUGUCAUAGUCUCCCGGGGUAAAUUGCUGUCUUGUAACACUUCGGAGAUAGUGAAUCAUAAACUUGUUC